RNAcentral lists this ribosomal RNA (253 nucleotides) under uncultured bacterium. RNAcentral describes it as "partial 16S ribosomal RNA". It matches the Rfam family "Bacterial small subunit ribosomal RNA", at positions 524 to 776 of the family's 1533-position model. The record is from RNAcentral.
UACGGAGGGUGCGAGCGUUGUCCGGAAUCACUGGGCGUAAAGGGCGCGUAGGCGGCUUUUUAAGGGUGCGGUGAAAGCCCGGGGCUUAACCCCGGGUCGGCCGUGCCGACUGAAAAGCUGGAGCACUGUAGAGGCAGGUGGAAUUCCGGGUGUAGCGGUGGAAUGCGUAGAGAUCCGGAAGAACACCAGUGGCGAAGGCGGCCUGCUGGGCCUUACCUGACGCUGAGGAGCGAAAGCGUGGGGAGCGAACAGG